AGAACCUUUGCAGCGUGCACAACUGCUGUCUCCUGCCAGCUUUCUGAAUCCUUGCGUCUGUGCUGUACUUCUUACUCUGAACUACGUGACGCCUGAGAUGUAGCUAAGUCUUCCCAAGUCUCUUGGUAUGCAGAGGAAGGAGGAAGGUACUGAAGGUUAUACAACUAACACCUCUGUACUUAAUGCUGCUGAAAUUUGCUUUAAGGUCAUACACAACUGGAGGUCAAGAAAGCUGUUUCCAUAAGAAUUAGUUUCAACGCAGUGCAGCGCUGUCCACCUGUAGUAGUGUUGAAAAUAUGCAUUUAUGUGCUCUGAAGGCUGAGCUCUUCCACUUGCAGCGUUUCGCGGCCCGAUGCAUGCUUUGGAUAAAAGAGGUCUGUGUUUCUAGCUGCUGCUGCAGCCAUUACUGAGGGAAAAGCUGGCACUGUCAGGAUUAAAUAUGAGAAGUGGUGCCACAGUAUCACAUUAGAUGGAGUGUUUUACUUAUGCUUUCGUAAUUGAGCUACUGGCUGUUGCGUUAGUUAGAGAAAGCAACAGAGGAGCUUCAGGCUGAAUAUCCACCCUUGUCAGUCAGUUUCUCUUGCUCUUUUCUGCUUUUUGUUGUUGUUAUUUUUUAAACCUUUUGCUAUCAGCAUUCCUUUCAUAGUGCUGGUUCUGACCAGAGACCUCUGCAGCUGUGCAAUGAAUGCUGUUACGUUCAGCAGGAUCAAAGCAAGUUGCGUGUGCUGCCUUGUGCAUGCUGGGAUUGGUGGAUUCAGCUCCCGGCAGCUUGAAGCCAUUGCUCUGGAGGUGUAGGAGGGUACAGAACCAGCGUGCCCAUACAGCCACAGCACUGCUCCGGGAUCUGUGCAAGGAUCUCACUGCAGCAUUCUUCCUUUGGCAACACCAACGCUUGGCAGGUAAACCACACUUCAGAUGUACAAGCAAACAGCGCGUGUCUAUUAAAUUAAUGGAAAACUCAUUUUAUUUUAAACUCUGUAAAAGCUGUAAUUAUAAAUAUGACAAACUUAAAUGAACAUACAUCACUGGGGAGUACAGGUAAAUCAGCAAGUUUUUUUCCAGUUACUUUUCUGUUGGAAUCUUUACGUAUCCUGAUGUGUAAUGUGAUAGUAGCUGCCUUCAUGGGUAUAAAAAUAAGCCUCUGGUGUAUCAAAGUAUUUGUGAGCAGCGAGAAUGUAUAAAGCAACAGUUAACGUAGGAAUUCUUCUACUCUUUGGCAUUAUCACACAAAUUAAUAUGUCCUUGUUUGACUAAGCAAUGAAAACCUCUGUGGUUCUGUACGUAGAUUUAAUUGUAAGCAGCCAGUUGUUCCAACACCGUAUUGUCUGCAUGGUCAGCUGUGUAAUCACUGUACAAAACAGUUCAGUGAGACUUGCAGCAGCAAAGUAUGACUGAAACUCAAGACUCAUGAGGCAGAUGCAAGAGGAAGUGUUGUUACCAUUCAUCCAUGUACUGAAUUGCAGAAAGCCUUGGAAAACUGAUGGGUCUGACUACGAAGGACUCAUCCCAUGCAUUCCCAGCAUAACAACCAGAGAUGCAUGUGCUGGGGGGGGGGGGGUGGCUCAUCCUGAGUUACCAAAAGCAGCACACAGGGUCUUGUAUGGAGCUCUAAGGUAGGAUUUAAAACAAACAAAAACCCCAAACCAAAAUACAGAAAAGCUUUCUCAGUGUAUAAGCAUGGAGAACGUUAAAACUUCUGAAGAGGGUUCUCCAGUUGUCCCUCAGCACCAAUGACAGAAGUAAAAAUCAUCUAUUUGUUGUAAUCUUCCCUCAGUGAAUCAAAGAAAGUAUAAACGCUCUUAGAGCUCCUCCCAACAUCCAGCUUUCAUUGGUAUUUGGCUGCCUUGUUUUGCAGCUUGGACAGUUUUCAAUAGUCACAUACUGUACACUCAGAGUGAAGUAUGCUUGUUGGUAAAUUUAAUGAGGUUUUGUAUUUUCAUGUUUAAAAGGCAGAGAAGAGUUGAGGGUCAUAACUGUCAUGGUGGAAGUGAUGUGGGCAGUGUUCCCUUGCUCCACUCUGAGCUGUGGCUGUGCAGCUCUUUCAGUUCCCCUCCCUACAGCUGGAAGUUUUGCAGUACAACCUUUCCCAGCUUAACUCAGUAUCUAAUAUUCUGUCAUAGCAUUUUUUAAUCUCUAUGGUGUAAUCAUAGCAAUGAAGUAAGGGAAAGAAUAACAUAACCCGUGUCUUCAGCUGAGGCUGUGCUGUAAUUUAAGGAGCAGUUCACCCUCCACUCAUUUUUUUCAGAUUUGUGGAAAAAAAAAAAAAAGAGUUAUGUAUUUGGCAGAAGAGAUCAAAGGAAAAUACAGAUACUUAUGUGAACAAUUUCUCUAAGAAAAAAGGGGCAAGAAAAUACCAUAAGAGGAAUUUGUUACAAGCAGAAGGGGCAGAGACUGGAGCGUGUUACAAGAAUAUUUUCUAUUUCCUUGGAAACACUACACCUGAGCAUUCUGUAAACAGUGAUAUUCCACUGACCAUGUAGGUGCAGUAUUUGAAUAAGACUUAAUUAAAAGGGCAGCAAUACCAAACUUCAGUCCUGUCCCCUUACAGGCAUAAGCCCCAUCCACUGACUACUGUGUGUAACGUGUUGCUAAGAUACAGCAUUGGUGGAGCAUUGAGAAAGUAAGUACGUUCCUUGCUCUUGCUUCAGUACAAUAUGGAAGCUGAGCCUUAUAUGCUUGUUUCUUCCACCAUAAGCUUUGGCACCAGCAUGUGCUUGGAGGAGGAAGAAAUAAAUAAACAGAAAAAACUUACUCUAGACCAGAAUCCUAGUACAGAUGAGAACUUGAUUUUACUGUGGUCUACCAGCUUGAUCUUAACAGCUGGGGAGAAGUAAGAGCAGUUCUGGCAUCUGCCUUUUGUAAUUUUGAAAGUUCAGAUGUCAUAGGUGAUAAAAUACAUGCAGGACUGCUGCCCUGCUUUAACCUGAGCAAAACACAUAACACAGGGUUACAGGGAACACGUAAGCAAAUGAAGUUUAAAUUCAGUAGGGAGGAACGGUCCUUGGCACAACUGGCUGCACCCAGAAGCCCAGGACAGCUGCGAAGAACCUAAUAGGUUUUUGCUCAGCUUAUGCCCAUGCUGUUCUCUGUGCUGAUAUGCUGCAAAAGGUGGUACAUCACACUGAGAAAGCUCAGCACAAGGCCCACAUGGCCUCUGAGAGAACUGCAGUCCGAAAAGGUGUGUGUGUGUGUGUGUGUGUACUCACUGUCCUUUGAAAGCCAGACGUUCACUAACCAGCUGCCUGAUGGUGGAGAUGAAGUAGAAAGGAGCUCCGACUAUCUGGAGAGGGCCAAGAGACUUCUGCAGGAGUAAUUUUACCCCCAGGUAUUUCUGGUUCUUCUGUAGCACAUGCUGAGUUUCCUAACAAACAAGUGGCACCUGUGCUCUGAAAAUGCCACCUUUUUGCUUGAAAACUUGACAAACAGGAAGGGCAAAGAGCUUCCUGUGGUGGCUUUAAAAGCACCCUUUUGUCACAGGCAGUUCUGUCAUUCAAGGAAAAAACAACCAGCAACAUUAAGAUCAGUUAGUAUUUGAAUUAAGAAGGAAAGAAACUCAGUUAUCGUUAAUCCUCUUCAGCUAUUCUGUGUGUGUAUAUCUUAUAGGAAUGCAGGCAAUAGCCUUCUAACAAUGUUUUUCCUGGAGUCAUCCCAAUUCCACUGCUUUCUUAAGAACUUUAACCGUGUUCCUACUGCUGCCACUGGCCAACUGCUACACUUUUUCAUCAGUUUCAAUUUAGAAGCAAAAGGUACCUUCCAGAACAGAGAUCUUCAAUACCAGGAGCAGCAAGCCCCCUUCUAGCAGCUGCAGUUCAGGAAGGGAGGAGGCUUAAAUGAUCCUUCUCCUAUGAGCCAAACACUUGUAAAAGUAACAAGGAUAAAACAUUGCUUUGCUAGAGUGCCAAUAGUGGGUAGUUCACUCUCCCAGCAGCACCAGCAAAUGAGGCUACUUCAGUUGGUACAGAGAAUCUUCUGGCACACCUUUGGAUGAAAACCUUUUCCCCUCUGCCAAGUGAAGGGCAUGCUCUGCUCACUGCUGGUGGUUACCCUCCCCAUCUCAAUGCUGAUCCCCAUCUGGUGGUGGGGUCUGGCAGCUUGCAGUAAGAAAGCCAUAUCUGCCUUGUGCUAUGAUGCGUACUAAAGUAACACAAAAUUAUUGUUCAGAUAGUAAGAGUGAAUCCUUUGCUUUUUUUAGAAGUAGCUAAAGCUGAGGUCUUCCUUAUCUUUUACUCCUGUGUACAUACUUGAGAUAAGCUGAACAUGAUUAGUGGCAGUCUGGAAUAUGUGCUUAGCAGCUAUGAACUCACAUUUAAACGUGAGAAGUGCUUCAAUGCUGUAAACAGUCGAGGCAGCAGUAUAAAUGGCAAUUACUACAUAGUUGGGCCUGAGAAUGAAUAAGCAGAAUACACAAGGAUAUUUUUCUUACAUUUUUACAUUUCAGAAUAAAAUCUUCUACCCCUAGACCUGUACUUUAGGAGGAGAGAAUUUCAGUGUUAGUUUUUCUCUGAACUCACUAGAUUUUGAUUUGAACUGUAGAAAAACUGCAGCAAAUUAUGUUCUUCCAGUUUGUCUGAAUAUAGCACUUUAGCUUGUUCACAGGCCUGCUGAACAGUGCUCAUGCCAAUACUAUAGCAGCAAAAACCACAUCUAAUUUUCUGUCACGAUCAACUGCCAAAUUGGUGACUGUGUUCUUGGCUAUAACUUAGAAUGCGAUUUUAUUUUAUGCAUAUCUGUAGUAAGUUAUUCACCUUUCUGAGGCUGCAGGGCAGUUCAGGAGUACGUCCUUAAACAGCCAUGCAUCAGUCUGUCUCCUCACUGAAGCUGCGAUACCCUAAGAGGAGAAGUGCUAUUAAAAUCUAAGAAAAAAGGGCCCUCUUGUUGAGGCAGGAAGGUGGUGGGGAUAAUGUUGUAGACUCCGGCGAGGAUGUUCUCCACUUCCAGGUAGCAAAAUCCACACCUAUGAUAAAAGAAGCGAUUUCUUACAACCAAGGUCUGAAAUGUUUCAAGCAGUGAAGAUUCCAUUGAAUCAACUAUUUAUUACCUGUAGUCCCCACUGCUCUUCUUCUGAAAGCCAUAGGAACCAGGAUCUCCUACUGUUGAGACAGUGACAAUUUCAAACCCAACGCUGUACUGCCUGCAAGCCAAGUGACAGACCAUUACUUUAAUUGUGGGGGGAAUCGGGGCUAGCAGGAGGAGAGUAAGUUUAUGAAAACUGUAUAGCUGGAAUACAUUUAGGUUUUGUCACAUUUGUGACAGAAAUGUCAGAGAAGCUUACCGUGACAUGAAUGUGCAGAUUGGAGGAAGAUGCAUUUUGGUUUCAGAACUCUAUCUGGUAAAUGUCUGCUAGCUUUCUGCCUCUGCACCAAAGCAGAGCCCAAGUGGUUAAACUUGCAGUGAGAUGCUCCUGGGCUGAGCAGCACAGGUUUUGGGCUGUAAUCUGAUCACCAUCAGAGGAACGUGAAUGUUGGUGAUCUCAGCACAAUUCUCAUGUUUCACUGCAACCUGGGACAAUUUGUCUACUACCUCUUCAUGAAUGUGGCAGGCACUGCUGGCUCUGUCAGUCAAACUACUCUAGUAUGACCUACUAAUGCAGAAAAUGCAAACAGAAAAGGAAUACCAGAAGUGAGAAAGUGCUUCCUCUUACCCUUUAUUAGGUAUCAUAAAGAAUACUGACACAUACUGCAAAGGGGUUUGAGAGGAUCAUACCACUUGAACCACGUUUUAAGUUAGACCUGUUUUAUAUUCUACUUUCUUGAAUAUCCCCUCCAAAACCUGGCCCUCCUGAGCCCUCUCCAGAGCUGAGAUGCACUAAUUUAAUAAAGGUCCACUCUACCACAGUAACAGCUGAGAGCCCAUAAGUAUUACUCGCAACUCUGGGAAGAAGCUUUCACUAUGAAAGACACUUCAUAGGGCACUAACAUCCAAUUCUUCCUUCUGAUCUGCCAGUCACAGAGUAGGUGCAUUGUCAGAGCUGAAACUACUGCACAGGCUGUUAUUUAAGAACCUGUAAGUGUUUAGCAUCCUGCAUAUUAGCUCCACUACAAAAGAAAAGGUAGCAUGACUGUAACAGAUUUUGAGGAAAUUAAUUUCAUGAUGCUCACACUCCAUAACUAAUAUAAAAGAAGGCUCCUGCUUCCCUCAUCAAGGAUCCUUGUCAAGUACUUCCUCAGUAGCAAGCAUGCAGAUUUAAAUCACUAUUGAUGGCAACGUUAGAAACAAACAGCGCUAUACCUGCUUAAUAUAAAGCUUAAUAUAGCUGCUUCCCCUAUCUUAUCUCUGGCUUUUCCAGGAUCUUCUCACCCCUCCCUUGGAGGACUGACAAUUUAUCCUUAGCGCGUGAUACUCUCAGUGUACAGAAGCAUGUAUGACAUACCUUGGUCCACGCAGUUCAAUUAGUAAUGGCCCACUCUUGUCCAGUUGGAAUUGAUAGAUGGGGUUAUUUUUGUAGCUGUCUCUGAAGUUCCCACAUCCUCCAGCACUGUGACCUUUCCAUUGUCCGUUAACCUAAGAAGUCAGAAAUACAGAAAAUAUUUUAUAUCCUGAGAAUUUGUGUAUAGAUAAGCAAUGCAAGGCUUGAAGCACCUCUCACUUCAGUUGUCACUGACUACAGUAAUCUUGGAAUCCUUAAAGAGUAAGUGACAGUCAGAACGUGAUGGUAUUCAGCAAGUUUAACUACCUGACUCAAAGCUUUAGAUCCCUUAUGAAGGUAAUAUUAUUCAGCUCACAAAUACCAGGUAGCUGCUUCUGACUAUAAAAGAUCGCAUCUGAUGAAGGAUCUCUAUUCCCAUCUAUCCUGGAGCUGCUCAACUGUGCAGGUUUUUUUUGCUGCUGUUUUCCCUGACAAAACCAAAACAACAACAAACCUUUGUUGUGCUAAAUGAGAAACAAAAAACAGCAUAAGUACAACACUACUGGUGUUGUAGCCUUUGCUUUGGGAAUCUCUCCCUCCAGCACUGCCCAUUCACCACUGUGCACUCUGAGAAGCAGCACUACUGAGACAAAGAUAGCCAUAAGGACAGGCUCCAAAAGGACAAAGAAAUACAAGAGACAGAACGUUGCUCAGAUUUUAAGAAACGGGCCAUCUGUUUGCAAGUUCCUCCUGCUAGUCAUUAAAUGAAACUUCUAAAACAUGCCAGGCAUUCACAAAGUUAUAGCUGAGCUGCAGUCCCUAUAUGUUACUUCCCUCCCCUCUCUGUCAAACCUGUGGUUUAGUUUCUCUACUCAGUGUCCAAAACCCUCAAAUGUGACAAGUCAGGAAAGUAAGGGGGGUUUCUUCCCCCACCACACAACCUGAGGCUGCUGUGAAUUUCCAGGCCUUUUCUACCUCAACUGUGCUUUCCUCCAGGAAUCCCACUGCAGCUGGGUUAGCACAACAGAUGACCACCCAACUUCGCUACAAGCCAUCUCAACAAUGCUUUCUUUGACUGGCAAAUUGUGAAUUACUUAUCUGCUUGUCUUUAAAUGCAGUGACUGCAAUACAGUUACCAAACAAGAAUUAAGCAGGCAACUAGCCUUCUGUAUUUAAUCAUUUAGACAGAGCUAGUUAUGGACAGAUAAAACAUGCCUUUUAUUUGAAUAGUAGACAGACAUCUUCAAAUAGUUAACAGGAGGCUUCCACGUACUUAAUUCUCUUUUGAAACUAACACAGUGUAAAACAGAUGACAUGUCUUAAGCAGGCAUGUCAUCUUCGGUGCAUUUUUCACUUCUUAAACCAUUCUGCCAAACUAAGCUUAGUUUUUUAGAGCUAAGUGGAAACAGUGGUUUCUGGAACAAUUGAGGAUACGGUCACAUUGUUCCCAGGAAUCUCUCUGGCUACUUACUGUGCUCCUGAGCUGGUGAGAUUCAAGGACAGUAAGAACAGCAGCACAUGGCCUCCAGACCACCUGGGCUUCUCACUUAUUUUAGCCAAGCAUUUGCUCUUACCACCUGGUGCUGCUCUACUCUCAGGGAGCAUUUCUAUAUGAAAUACACCAUCUGUGUACUGUCUUAUUCCUAUCUGACAGCGUGAGUGCUUAUCCCAGUGAUAACAGACCUUUGAGAUUUCUUAGUAACUUUAAGACCUGUAAGGUAUUGUGACCAUCAUAAGUAAGAAGUCCAUUUGUCACAGUAUCAGUAGUGGUGCCUUUGCUUUGCCACUGCUGCUUAUGCCCUGUGGUGCCAAGAAUUUUAGAAGACAAUAAUGCACUUCCUCAAAAGUGAGCAACACUCUGCACACUCAUUACAUAUUAGGGGAGAGGUUGUUACUCCAAAGGUUCCACAAAAGAUUUUGUAUCUGCACCAGUACAGCUGUAAUACUCUUAUGAUGAAGAUAGAGCCUAUAUACUGAAUAGGACUUUCAUGCUGCUAAAAGUUACGCCACUAUCCUUACUAGUAAAAAGAGUUAGCCAGCUACCAAAGGCUUUUUUAUUAUGAACAAUGCUUAAAGCAGCUAAUUGUUCGGCAAGUUAUAUGCAACCUAAGCACAGGGUUGAUCUUGCACUAGGUAUGCUAGAUUAAGCUCUAGUUGACCUCCUUAAUUAAAGAAGUUCGGUUUUUUAGAAGACAGCCUGAGCUGGCAUUUCUGGACAUUAGUGGAAAGUUAUGUUUAGAAACCAUAUACAUCUCAAACAUAGAAAGACCACAGCAGAAUAAUUACUUAGUAACUCAUAAAAAAAUUCUUUACCCGUUUGGAAAUGGUGUAAGGUGUAGGGAUCUUGGAAAAGGUAAACUUGCACAAGGAGUACACCUGUGUGGUAAAAGCAGACGUUGGUCAUACGUUCAUCUGGCAUUUCUCAAGACAUAUUAAAAGAAAAAACAAAAAGCAGAACUACCUACAAAUAUUUUUUUAGAUACUUGCUAUAUUUACAUGCUUUAAAAACAACCACAAAGGAAAUACAGCCUUAGUACUUGGGCUCCAGUGACUUCUUUCUGUCUUACCUAUCUCUUAUCAGAAGGCAUUUCAGAGGACAAGGAAAGGUAAUGCCUGAUGGCAAAAGGAGUUCCCCACCACCACUGUAUUGUAUUGACACCCUAUAUUGUCUCAGCUGCAAUGGAGAAUAUUAUCAAGCAGGUGAUCCAGUGAUUCUGCUCCAUCAUUCACAGCCUCCCUCCCCUAAGUAACAUGGGCCCAGAAGUGUGCUCAUUCAUCACAUUGACAAAUAAAGGACACUGUGCAUAUUUAUUUACAUUUGUUAUGAAAUCAACAGUACAUACCCUGAUGGUGUAAUGGAUAGUGUUUUGUUUCUCAUACUGAGACACCACUAAUGUGAACGUAUGCGUUCCUGGAGAGGUCAGCUUUAUCUUGGUCAGAUAAUGAGGACUGUUGAUCCGAAUGCCAUCGAUAUAUGGAACAGGAUCAGCUGAAAAAGAAAAGAAUGAACACUUCUCCCAGUCAGAAACCUCCCAGCCAUUUAUAAUCAGUGAAUUCUGCCCAGAAAGUCAGACUGUUGGUACUAUCCUUAGACUACAAGCAGACUUGAGUGCUUUCAGAAGAAAAGAGCCUGAAGAUUUGCUCAUAGAAAGCACGGACAGGUAAGAGCAACUAUCAUUUUCUAAGAUGUACAUCACACGACAGGACAAAUUCUGCACUUGAAAGUACAGCCUAAAUGACUUGAGAGAACUACUUGUCCAGCUCUCACCGACGUCUCUGUUCAAAGGAGUCCUACUAUGAUUAUGUUGAAAUUUAUAGAAAAAGAUAAGGAAUGUUUGAGCACUCCAUAAAAUUCAAUGAGAAGUCUGCUAGAGAAGCUCCCUUCUCUGUUGAUAGGGCAGCUGCAGUUGGUAGACAAGACUUUGCAAUAUGUUCGUGUCUUUGAGAAACAAAAACACAUCUCCAUCUCUCUCCCUCUCUCUUACGAUCACUACACAAUACAAAUCCAGUAUUCAUUAUAAGCAUCCCAAACAUUUUCCUUUUACAAUUACACAAUACGAUUUGUUAUCUGGUCUCUAAUUGGUUACUUCCAGAAUUCUUUUAAUUUUAGUGAAGCAGAAACAAAUCUAGCCAAUUACUUCAAUAGACCCAGGAUCAGGUCCUUUGUUUUCUUCCACAAAGCAAAUGAUUAAUAUAAAACAACCAGAAGCUUAGGAAUGGGAAAUCCCUGAAUCAGUGCCAAAGGAUUAACCUGUUUUCUUCUGAUCUCAUUUUAACAGAUGGUAAAAAUAACACUGUAGCUUGACCAAUCUAUCUCCAUGGAAAAAGGUUUCAAAUGAGUUUGAGCUCAUGAAAUUAAAAGUUUAUGAAAGAGUUUGGUUAUCGAGACAAAACAGACCAAUCAUCCAGCUCUCCUUAAUGGUCUUGCUGGAAAACUGCCUUUUUCAACGUACAGAAGUGUAUUGUUUGCUGACCUGAAUGUUUUCAGUAUAACAGAUAGAAAAUAAGCACUGCUACAACUAACAGCAUCACAGGCAUGCCUUGGGCAGUAAGGACAAGCAAAUUCUUUAACGAGAUCAGCUCGUGCACAACCUGAUGUUUUGGGAAGGUCUCAGUGGAUGUUUUCUACUGAAAGACAGCUUGGAUUCUAGGCAAACUGGUUGGCAGAGUACACUGAACAAGACCAGAGAUGAACCCCACAACCAUUAUCAGCUAUUCCAAUAGGUUAAAAAAAACAAAAACAAACAAAAACAUUAAACAAAGAAACCCAAAUGAGAAAAAAAAGCACAGAUUCCACUCUUUGUUCAGAAGAGCUUUAAAAGCUCCUAUUAUCUGUUACAUGAGCAUUAACCCUUACUUCCUGUGUCUAUCUUUCCUGGAAUAUAAUAUACAUGGCCUUUUUGCAGCUGCAAUAAAGCUCCAAAAAUCAAGUAGGGUUAAGAUCUUAAGCACAUACAGCUUGGCUUAUUCCUUCCAUGCAGUCUGUUAAGGUGGUCAGAGGGCUGAACGACUACAUCAGAAGACUGACCUCAUAGAGUGAGCUUUGCAGCAUUAAAACAAACUGUGCCUCUCUUUCCCACAGAACUCUCUGCAAGCGUUCAUUUAUUCUUAAGCAUCACCUUUUUUGACAGUUGAGGUAUACUAACCUGGAUAGUAAACUUUUUUGCCAUCAGUCUUGUAUACAACCAUAGUAAUAAAUUCCCUAUUGUGUGCAAAGUCAUCCUAUAAAAAAAAAACCAAAACAAAUGGAGUUAUAAGCUUCUGUGGAAUAUAACUAGCAUUUAAUCUAAAUCAAACACACAUUCUCCCACUCUUUUGAUCACCACAUGCUAUGGUCCGAUAGUUGCGUUUAUCUUUUUAAAUGUCUGAAUUAAACCAACUACCACUAAUUCAACUGAAAAGAAGUUCAGGCCCUUGGGAGUCAGAAUUACUUUGGUACUCUUAUGGUGGAAUAUAAUCCCCUCACUCAAUUUUUACACUGGGUCUCUCUCGACCAUCUUGUAAGCAGGUAACCGUACUGCUGAUUUAAAGUUUAUGCAUAUACAUGCACACAUACCUGGAACAUGCAACAUAAUACUGUUUAUAUUUACAUCACAGACAGAUACUACAGAGCUCAGAAUAUGGAAAGCACAAGGAGAGAACUCCCACCUUAUCUGUGAUGUGUCUACUCAGCAGCACCCAGACCACAGCUCCACCCUGUGGGCACUGCACCUCCAGCUUGUACUGCGGGUUGUUGGCCAGGCUGUAGGCAUCCUUCACCGGGCCUUGCUUUGCAUCCCAAGUACUAGGAGCAAUGCAGACAUUUCAGCAGAUCAGAUUUGAAAACAAAGAGACUUAUACUUCUCUAACUGUAGGAUGCUUCAUAUGAGCUGUUAUGUCCAAAAGCUUGCUUUUUUUUUUUCCUCCCUCCCUCCUCCUCUACAGACUUCAGGUACACUUUUGAAUAAAAAUUAACCUGCUUAAUGUUUGGAAAGGUGCUUGGUACCUUGAGGUAUCUGAUUACCAAACCUGCCUUGGGAACUGUCUAGACAAGGAAAACAUGGGGGAAAAAAAAUGGUGCUGACGACAGCACAAAGCAUGACACACAGGGAACAGAAACGGAUAAAACUAUUUGUGUCAUUGACACUCCCCACCCCUUUGAACUGAAUAGCAUUUGUGAAUGGCUGCAUUAUUAACUAAGCUUCAAUUUAUCUCUGUUAUUAUUGCCACUAUUUAGGGCAGUUAUCACUGUGCUAGACACUGCCCUACACAGAGGUAUGACAAUCAUUAAUAAUACAAGGAAAUACAGAGUAGAAGAUGACUGAAUGUGUAUGUUCAUCUCAGAGACCAUUUUGCUACAUCAUGACAGCCCAUUUUGGAGUCAAUCUGAACACAAAGGUGGAAAGAGCCUUUACAGACAAAUUGAGAAGUUGUACUAUUGAUGAUGGAGCUCGUGCAGAGCUAACUUAUACAGAAGCCAUGUGGAAGCAGGGGUGAAGUGUGAUAUACUGCACCAGAGAAACAAAUAAACUUCCAGAAACAGAGGCACUUGUCUUCUAACUGGGUUAGAAAAAGACUGAAUGAGAUGAAUACUAGGAGAGAGACAGGUGUCGUGUUCAAAUAAAUUGAUGGCUAGAGAAGAUAACAUACAAUUGGUGAGAAAUGGACUUUGACUCCUACGGCAUGAGCAAACACACCUUGUAAAGACAACAUGCACUGCACAAAUGGCUUGGAACUGCCAAGUAAAAUGAAUUCCAAGUAAAAGUUAGGACACUGAAGCACUGCCUAGUGACUGAGUAAACUAACACCAACUGUGCAAAAUCUGAUUUCUAUUCCAAUACAGAGAUGUGGUACUGAGGUCAGCAUCCACUUACACAACCUUAGGCCCACAGUAUCACCACAAAGAUCACAGGAGUUUCAACAAUGUUAUGGAAAAACUCAAAACAAAAGCCUGGGCUCAGAAUUUAGAAUUGGGAAGUUGGACUCCAACCAUGCUCUUUAACCCAACCUUUUCAGCAGUGAGAAAAAAAAAAUGGAAGAAAGGAAGCACCUCAUCAAGACAUUCAGCGUUACACUGACACAAAAGUUGUUCUCUUGGACCAACCUGUGAAUACAUGUAGAUUCUUUAAAAAGACCUGGAUUCCAACUCAAAUAAAUAACAUCAUAGUACUGGCACAGGUCCUCCCAGGCAAUCCAGAAAAUCCCUAAAAAGGAAGUGCUGUUAUUGUUUGCUUACCAGAAAUGUUUAAUUUACUCAUUUUUCAAGAGUCCCUUUCCAGGCAAAUAAUACAGCUGAUAUAAAUCCCAAAUUUAUAUGAAACAGAGUAGUAACAUCUGCACUGCCUACAUUCCUGAAGUUAAACUUAACCCACAAAGCAAACAAGUUAAACCAAGAAAGAUUUUUAACUACCAGACUCUACGGAUGCACUAAUUCCUUACUAAAUGGAUCUAUGUAAAUAAUGAGCUAAUCUCUCCUAACUACCAAAAGCCAGGCCUACUAUUCUUACAUACUGCAUGAAGUUCGUAAUAAAAUGGUAAAAUCUAAUGCACUUGGAUGCAUACUGUUGUUGAAAUGAAGUGGCAUUAAACAAAAGGGUUUCCUCACUUACUCCACCUGUUUCUUGUGCUCAAGUGUUUCUUUCCACCUUUCGGCAGGGAUAAACCACCAAGGUCUGCAUUAUUUGAAUAUAUAGUGACUUUCUAUGCCUUAUUACCGUUGUCUAUUUUCUGAGCUGUUCUUGGAUCAAAGUUCAAGUAUUUUUGUAAAUCUGGGGUCCAACUUCUUGUGUCAUUUUCACUGUAUCGUCCCUUCCAACGUAAGUGGCUCCAUGGAUUUUUCAACUGGAGGAAUCUAAGCCCCUGAAAAAACACAGGAUAAAACUGCUGGAUUCACCUUAUCAAGGUUAUUUCUCUAUUUAUAUGAACAUGGAAUAGUGAUCAGCAUCUUUAUGAAAUACAGCAUCAUUAAGCUUUCCAGAAUUUCCCAGUUUUUGAAGACAAAAUAAACUAAAGAUCAGUAGCAACCCAUCUUAGACAAAGGUUUCAAGCUGGUAUCUGAACAAAAUGUUCAGUUUUACUUGGUACCUUAUGUUCUCUUAUAUCCAAGACUGCGUAGGCAUGGGUUGGAACUAAACCCCAUUUUUCUCCUUCCUCUUCAGACAUCACACCUGUUGCUGUUGUGAUAAGGACAUCUCCCUUAUGAAAUCUGUUAAAAAAAAAAGUAACAUUUUAAUUAAGCUAUUUUUAACAGCUGCAAACUAACAUUUGACAGAUACUGCAGUAGUAUGUUUGUACAUUGUUAGUAUGAUCCUACUUUAUAGGAAUACAGGUUGUUUAUUGUAAGCAGAAAUCAGACCUGAAGAUACUUCAGAACACAGAACUAUUUUCUUCCAGUAUUUCAGUACAGACUGAAUGUGAUAUAGAAGGUUAUUGUCAUUACAACAUAAAAAUAAGCAUUUGUCAUUCUAAAAUUCAAUCUGCGUCAUUUAUUAAAAAUUCUCCUCACAGAUCUUCAGCUGAACACAGAAAUGGUUUCAUCAACACUUACUUAAAUCACUGCAUACAGUGAAU
Molecule: long non-coding RNA, 14395 nt
Filed under: Gallus gallus (chicken)
Lineage: Eukaryota; Metazoa; Chordata; Aves; Galliformes; Phasianidae
Source: RNAcentral